This 359-nucleotide long non-coding RNA is filed under the name Hordeum vulgare. RNAcentral's name for it is "long non-coding RNA (HVUL_LNC011595)". Lineage: Eukaryota; Viridiplantae; Streptophyta; Magnoliopsida; Poales; Poaceae. The record is from RNAcentral.
GCAAACCCAGCAGCAGAAGGGAGGGGCUGAGCCAGGCAGCUAGCAAUGGCGGCGGACCUGGGCUUCGAGGCGACCGAGCUGCGGCUCGGCCUGCCCGGCGGCGGCGAGGGGGAGGCCAGGAGCUCCUCCGGCAAGAGGGGCUUCGCCGAGACCAUCGACCUGAAGCUGAAGCUGGAGCCGGCCGGCGAGGAGGCGCCGGCGGCGGAGGACCGGUCCGACGUGGCCGUGGUCGCCGCGGCGGCGGCGGAGGAGGAGCACGAGAAGGCGGCGGCGGACGCCUGCGUGGGGAAGAUGAAGAGGUCGCCCAGCCAGAGCAGCGUCGUCACCACCGCCGCGCUCCCCGACCCCGCCGAGAAGCC